RNAcentral lists this ribosomal RNA (373 nucleotides) under uncultured bacterium. RNAcentral describes it as "bacterial SSU rRNA". It matches the Rfam family "Bacterial small subunit ribosomal RNA", at positions 527 to 898 of the family's 1533-position model. The record is from RNAcentral.
GGAGGGGGCAAGCGUUAUUCGGAAUCAUUGGGCGUAAAGGGCGCGUAGGCGGCUUGGCAAGUCAAAGGUGAAAUCCCUCGGCCCAACCGAGGAACCGCCUUUGAAACUGCUUGGCUCGAGGCCGGGAGAGGGUAGCGGAAUUCCCAGUGUAGCGGUGAAAUGCGUAGAUAUUGGGAGGAACACCAGUGGCGAAGGCGGCUACCUGGACCGGUUCUGACGCUGAUGCGCGAAAGCGUGGGGAGCAAACAGGAUUAGAUACCCUGGUAGUCCACGCCGUAAACGAUGGGUACUCGGUGUCGCGGGUAUCGACCCCUGCGGUGCCUUAGCUAACGCGUUAAGUACCCCGCCUGGGGAGUACGGUCGCAAGGCUGAA